AAAAAAUAUCAAUGGAGAGUUUGAUCCUGGCUCAGGAUGAACGCUGGCGGUAUGCUUAACACAUGCAAGUCGUACGGGAAAGAUUUCUAUUUUUCCUAGUGGCGGACGGGUGCGUAACACGUAAGAACCUACCUUUUGGAGGGGGAUAACAUCGGGAAACUGAUGCUAAUACCCCGUAAUAGCUGAGGAGUGAAAGCGGUUUUCCGCGCCAAGAGAGGGGCUUGCGGCUGAUUAGCUAGUUGGUGGGGGUAAAGGCCUCCCAAGGCCACGAUCAGUAGCUGGUUUGAGAGGACGAUCAGCCACACUGGGACUGAGACACGGCCCAGACUCCUACGGGAGGCAGCAGUGAGGAAUUUUCCACAAUGGGCGAAAGCCUGAUGGAGCAAUACCGCGUGGGGGAUGAAGGUUCGUGGAUUAGUUUAUGGUCCACUUGUAAGUAAGGUUAGUUGUUAAUUAACAUAUGACAAUUUAUCGAAGAAAAUUCUAUUACGAGGCGCCCGCAGACAUCGUCGAGGACGACGAGUCUAGGUCGCCUCGUAGAGCUCGCCUCGCAGAGGCGACCUACAGAAUUUUCUUCGAGAACGACCCCGCCCAAAGAUUUUCAAUAUCCUAAAGGAUAUUGCCCGUGAGGGCAACUUCGAUAUUUGUUUUUUGUUAAGAUUCAUUAAUCUUACUUACAAUAAUAAAUUCGGUGAAUACAGGGACGCUAAGGUAUACAAUAAAUUAGUAUACUAUGCAAAUCUGUAGCGAAGUGCGGGGAAAUCUCAAGAAAAAAAAAAAAUUGUACCCGUAAACGCCUAAAGACUAGUUAGUGAGGAUGAGAAACCAAUAAUCUAACCACGAGCGCCGAACAACCUAAUUUUUAUUAGGUUGAUGAUAUAGUCUAAUCUUAAAGGAAACUUUAAGAAGUAUUGUAUAAAUAACAAUACGUUAAUAAUAUGCGUAAACCCCUUUUCUCAGAGAAGAAGUUCUGACGGUAUCUGAGGAAUAAGCUCCGGCUAAGAGAUUGGCCUCCUGUUUUGUGAAAAACAGGGAAAAUUUUCGGCUCAUAACGAUGAAUCCUUAAUUUAAAAAUAAUGGAUAAGGUGAUAUCGUGGGAAGUCUAAGAAACGUAAAAUGAAUUACGUAAGACCCCGUAACGACUGAGGAAAAGCAUAAGCUGAGUACGAGAUAAGAUGAUAGUUUUAUCCUGGAUAGUUUUAUCCUGUUGGAAUAAAACUGAAGUCUUAUAAAACGCCGACUACUUUAAAAAAGAAAAUAAAAAGUAGAAUGUAUAGUCUAUGCCGAAGUUAGAAACUUCGGGCUACAUGAACUCUGUGCCAGCAGCCGCGGUUUGGCUAAAAUUGCCGCAAUGUAUCUUAAGAUACAUUAAGAAUUCUGCUUAUAUUGAAGGAGCCUACACAAAAAGUAGGUAAUUUCAAGGGAAGCUUCUCUUUAAUUUAAAGAGAUAGCCCCUUAACGACUGACCCGAAAGGGGAGACUGAUUAUUGUUUAUCAUAAUAUUUUAAACAAAAUCGGUAAUACGCAGAACCUUAGCACAAUAAAAGAAACCUAGUUAUGUGUAAACUAGAAAAACAGGAGAAUAAUAAUAAUUAUGAAGAUGCGAUGAAAGUUGUUCGAGAACUUUACAAAUAGUUACACAUGGUUAACAACCUAAGGGUUCUGCUAAGGAUAAGAUAUAGUCUGAUCCCUAUUGUAAAAUAGGGUGUAAUCGAAUACAGGGGGAGCAAGCGUUAUCCGGAAUGAUUGGGCGUAAAGCGUCUGUAGGUGGUUCUUUAAGUCUACUGUCAAAUACGUUGGCUCAACCAACGGCAGGCAGUGGAGUACUAAAGAACUAGAGUGCGGUAGAGGUAGAGGGAAUCCCUAGCGUAACAGUGAAAUGUGUAGAUUUUAGGGAGAACACCAGCGGCGAAGGCGCUCUACUGGGCCGAUACUGACACUGAGAGACGAAAGCUAGAGGAGCGAAUAGGAUUAGAUAAAUCUGGGGCGCUCUAAAAUAUACCCCAAAGUGUCCUCAUUUCACUGAAAGGUGAGAUGUGAACCUAGCUAUAUCGGGGAAGGUCAUGCUUAAAACAUGAAUAAUCCCGAGGGAAGUAUGUAUUUAUAAGGUAUACCUUUUUAAAACAUACCCCUUAGAGACUAAACACUCUGGAAUUAUAAAACUUUUAGGUGGAGUUUUAUACAACUUUUGUACCAAAAGGUUCCAGAGUUGUUGCAACGCUGGGCUUCCGAAAUAAAAGAGGCGGACAAAACAACUUUAUUGCCCUCAUGGGCAACAAAGUUGCCCGUCCCCUAAGGGCUAGGACCUUGUCCGUCGCGUGAGGGGAACAAUUUUGUUGUUUUGUCCUGAGGAAAAAACCUUUGGUUUUUUCCGACUUGUUCAACCAGAAUUUCGCGCAUACGUGGAAGACUUUUAUGAACGAGUUAUAAACGGAAGAUGAUAUAGUCCACUGGUGGGUUCACCUAAUAAAUGGCCCGCCUUUGACCCUAGUAGUUCUAGCUGUAAACGAUGGAAACUAAGAGGGGGUAACCCCCUUCUGUAGCUAACGCGUUAAGUUUCCCGCCUGGGGAGUAUGCUCGCAAGAGUGAAACUCAAAGGAAUUGACGGGAGACCACACAAUAGGUAAACCGAUAAUCUGCCUAGUGGCUUUGUGAAAAGCUAUAGUCUUUUAAACACUAAAAGUCUUCUCGUCAAAAAAGAAAUAGUGGCAUAACAAUAAACUUUAUUGUUAUGUAAGGCAAAAAACUGGCUCAAAACGACGAAAAUCGAGAAUUCUCGGCAACAUCGUGGAUUUUAAAAUAUACACCGGACCAGGGCCCCUUGGUUUUUUCCGACUCGUAUAGUUAUAUUAGUUUGGUGUAUAAUAUUUUAAAGUCUGUAACGACUCAUUCGUAUCUUAGUUGAGAUAGUUUACUUUUUUAAAAAAAGUAAAUAAGAAUGGACUAUACAAACGUAUAGUAAUACGGCCAGCUCUUUUAAGGAACUCCUUUUUUUAUUUUUAUUUUUAUUUUUAUUUUUAUUUUUAUUUUUAUUUCAAAACUUAUUGAGUUCCUCAAGGUUAACAACCUUUAAUAAAAGAUGAAUGCAUAGUCUAAAUUCCAUUGAAAAAUGGAUAGUCAUAAAUCUCUUUUGGGAUUAUGCGGUUUAAUUUGAUGCAACGCAAAGAACCUUACCAGGGUUUGACAUGUCUAGAAUUUUUCAGAAAUGAAAAAGUGCUUCCUUUUUAUGAAAGGAAGAACUAGAACACAGGUGGUGCAUGGCUGUCGUCAGCUCGUGCGUUGACGUGUAUGGUUAAGUCCUGCAACGAGCGCAACCCUCGUCUUUAGUUACUUUCCAAGUUCUCUAAAGAGACUGCGCGCGCAAGCGCUGAGGAAGGUGAGGAUGACGUCAAGUCAGCAUGCCCCUUACACCCUGGGCGACACGCGUAAUACAAUGGUUGGGACAAUCAGAAGCUACCCCGCAAGGGCACGCCAAUCUGUUAAACUCAACCCUAGUUCGGAUUGUAGGCUGCAACUCGCCUACAUGAAGCCGGAAUCUAUAGUAAUCGCCAGUCAGCUAUAUGGCGGUGAAUACGUUCCUGGUCUCUGU
This 3589-nucleotide ribosomal RNA is filed under the name Dunaliella salina. Its description in RNAcentral is "small subunit ribosomal RNA". The stretch from base 3126 to 3579 matches the Rfam family "Bacterial small subunit ribosomal RNA", at positions 924 to 1374 of the family's 1533-position model. Lineage: Eukaryota; Viridiplantae; Chlorophyta; Chlorophyceae; Chlamydomonadales; Dunaliellaceae. The record is from RNAcentral.